Microdochium nivale is the source of this 133-nucleotide non-coding RNA. The record is from the annotation of a GenBank genome assembly. Lineage: Eukaryota; Fungi; Ascomycota; Sordariomycetes; Xylariales; Microdochiaceae.
GGCCUGGUGGCCUAAUGGUAAGGCGUCAGAUUUCGGUUUGAGGACACCAAGUUCACCUCGUGGGUAACCACUUGGACUUGCUCCCUGAAGAGCAAUUCUCUGAAAAUUGCGGGUUCGAUCCCCGUCUGGGUCG